UGACAGAAGAGAGUGAGCVC
RNAcentral lists this microRNA (20 nucleotides) under Eucalyptus globulus. Its description in RNAcentral is "MICRORNA156.5". The record is from RNAcentral. Lineage: Eukaryota; Viridiplantae; Streptophyta; Magnoliopsida; Myrtales; Myrtaceae.